GGAUGAACGCUAGCGGCAGGCCUAAUACAUGCAAGUCGUACGGCAACACAGUUGCGAGCAAUCGCAACCGGUGGCGAGUGGCGCACGGGUGAGUAACGCGUAUGUAACCUACCCUUCUCCGGGACAUAACUCCGCGAAAGCGGUGCUAAUAUCCCAUACCAACUCAUCAAGACAUCUUCUUGAGUUGAAAGCAGCAAUGCGGUGAAGGAUGGGCAUGCGUCCCAUUAGCUGGUUGGUGAGGUAAUGGCCCACCAAGGCUACGAUGGGUAGGGGUUCUGAGAGGAAAGCCCCCCACACUGGUACUGAGACACGGACCAGACUCCUACGGGAGGCAGCAGUAAGGAAUAUUGGGCAAUGGGCGAAAGCCUGACCCAGCCAUGCCGCGUGAAGGAAGACGGCCUUAUGGGUUGUAAACUUCUUUACUACGCGAAUAGAGGUUAGUACGAGAUACUAAUAGGAAGGUAGUGUAGUAAAAAGCACCGGCUAACUCCGUGCCAGCAGCCGCGGUAAUACGGAGGGUGCAAGCGUUAUUCGGAAUUACUGGGUUUAAAGGGUGCGUAGGCGGUUAAAUAAGUUGUCAGUGAAAGGCUACGGCUCAACUGUAGUAGUGCUGGCGAUACUGUAUAACUAAGGACAUGGGAGGGGUACCUGGAAUGUGUGGUGUAGCGGUGAAAUGCGUAGAUAUCACACAGAACACCGGAGGCAAAGGCGGGGUACUAGACCAUAGUUGACGCUGAGGCACGAAAGCGUGGGGAUCAAACAGGAUUAGAUACCCUGGUAGUCCACGCCCUAAACGAUGAUCACUAGAUAUUGGCGACAGACAGUCAGUGUCCAAGCGAAAGUGAUAAGUGAUCCACCUGGGGAAUACGGCCGCAAGGUUAAAACUCAAAGGAAUUGACGGGGGCCCGCACAAGCGGAGGAGCAUGUGGUUUAAUUCGAUGGUACGCGAGGAACCUUACCUGGGUUAGAACGUAUGAUAGAUGUAGCUGAAAGGUUACAGACCUGCGAGGGAUAUCAUACGAGGUGCUGCAUGGUUGUCGUCAGCUCGUGCCGUGAGGUGUUUGGUUAAGUCCAGCAACGAGCGCAACCCCUACCUUUAGUUGCCAGCAGGUAAAGCUGGGGACACUAGAGGGACUGCCUGCGCAAGCAGAGAGGAAGGUGGGGAUGACGUCAAAUCAGCACGGCCCUUAUGUCCAGGGCUACACACGUGCUACAAUGGUAACUACAGAGGGCAGCGACUAGGCGACUAGGAGCGAAUCUCGAAAAGUUAUCUCAGUUCGGAUUGGAGUCUGCAACUCGACUCCAUGAAGGUGGAUUCGCNNNNNAUCGCGCAUCAGCAAUGGCGCGGUGAAUACGUUCCCGGGCCU
RNAcentral lists this ribosomal RNA (1367 nucleotides) under uncultured bacterium. Its description in RNAcentral is "bacterial SSU rRNA". It matches the Rfam family "Bacterial small subunit ribosomal RNA", at positions 27 to 1381 of the family's 1533-position model. The record is from RNAcentral.